This is a long non-coding RNA of Heterocephalus glaber (naked mole-rat), 1656 nucleotides long. Lineage: Eukaryota; Metazoa; Chordata; Mammalia; Rodentia; Bathyergidae. The record is from Ensembl.
GUGGACUCCUGUUUCUCAUUUUGUUUACCAAAGUUCAAUGUUUGAUCUGAGUUCCUUUUCCGCAUAGCCAUUGACUGUCAAUGUUAAAGAGACUGAUUCACGAUUGAGAAAGAAGAACUUUAGAUAUUCCCAGGGACCAAGAUAUCUACAUGAGAAGAACACGACUCUCAGGGAGCUGGAAGACAGAAGACUAAAAGACUCCAGGAGAUUAAGAAAUGUAAACCACAAUAGAAGUAAAUGCAGAUUCACACCGCAAAGCUCCUCUUCUACCCACCAUUCCUUGCUGACAGAAAGGAAGGAUUGGCAGGAACACCCACUUCUGAUGCCACUGUAAUGAUAUAAGCAAUUUAUAAUGGGGGACAGAAGUAGGAAGAUGGCUUUGGAAAUGGAAAGGGUAUAAAUUAGAGCAGCAGCCAAAAAAGGCAAUCUGGAAAAGAAAAUAGAUGCCAAAGGAGAGGAUCAGUAAUGCCCCCACGAAAAAGUUUAGAAAAGGCCCUGUUUUUUGUUUUGUUUUGGCAGCAUUGGGGGUAGAAAAAGGAAAAGCACAGUUUGAUCAAGUUGAUUGUGAGACAGCUAAGGAUCAGGGUGAUACAGGAAAUGAUAUAGGACCUCUAAAUAUGAUAAUAAGGGAAAUACAAUUUUUAAUCUGCUAGAUGUCUGAUCCGCCAAGUUCGUGUUCUCCAAAAUCAAAGAAUGAUUUUUUAAGGAACCACAGAGGUUAAGAGUAGAAAUUAUUUAUUGAGGAGAAAGAUACUACUCUUGAGAGGCAGGAGGGGACCCAAAAGUGGGUUGCCAUGAACCUCACUUCUCAGGGGAAGUUUUAUAGAGCACAACACGUGGAUACAAUGUGGGUUACAGCUAUGAUCCACCAAUAAGAUUAUAAGUAUAGUCGUUUAGGUAACAUUGAUCCAGUGGGGAAGCAAGUCAGGUAGCAGGUGUACGUGGAAGGAACAAAACUUUUCAGGAAGGGAUGAGUCUGAGGGUCUUGGUCACCCACCGAGGUGACUGAUGUCUGACUUCAUUAGACCAGGUGUUACCAUUUAUCUCAGGCCUGGACAUUUCCUCUUUAUCUUGAGGCCUGGCCUCUUACGGAUGCACCUCUGGUCACAGUUGUAAUGUGUUUUUACCUUUGUCCUGACUCUCAAGGACUCUCAGCCUAGCUCAGUUGUCUGUAAUAAGGAGACAGUCACAACUGAAGAUGUAGCAGACAUCUGCACUGAAAUGAGAGUUGAAGGCCUCAAUAAAUGAUUACGGUUUUUAAAAAAUGAAAAGAUCCACAGACAGAACUUCAGAAAAUGCCCACCUUUAGGUGGGAAGGUAGAAGAAACAGAAUAGGAGGAAGAAGAGAAGGACUGAAUCACACAGCAACCAGAAUAAAAGGCAGGAGGGACUUCCAAGGGGGAGAGCUAACAUGAGGUGUCCAGUAAUCCAAGCACAGUGGCUUAGGGUGCACCAUGAAGACAGCGUGGCCACCCUGGGUGGUAGGGCUGGGAGCCCCAGAGGGUGACAAGUCGGGGUGGGGGAGGAGAAAAAGGAGCAGGUCAAAGGUGUCUUUGCUUGUCGGUGAUCCAGAGAAAAGAGCAGAGAGCAGACUGGGAAAAGAACGAUUCCUGAGGGAGAAGAAAUAAUUAAUGAGGCCAAAUCUGGGUGCUGGAG